AACUGAAUACAGGAAGACACUAUGCCUGAGGAUCCCCCCUCAAACAUUUUGACCCAUGGUUGCUUGUGUCUGCAGAUGGAGAACCCACAGAUACAGAGGGCCAAUUGUAUUCUUAGAUGCCACCACAAAUCUGCAUCAUUAAAAGAUGUUAAAUAAUUAAUGGAUAUAUGCAUUAUAUGCAAUACCAUAUAUCCUUUAAGAAAAAGAAGAUAUGUCUAUUAAAGACCCACAAGGAAGGUCCAUGAUCUAUCGUUGAGUAAACAAGGACGUUCGCACUAUUGAUACAUGCAGCAGUUCAGAGGGAUCUCAGGCAAUAAUGCUGAAUGAGAAAAGCCAGUAUAAAUUAUUUGUAAAACAUUCUUGAAAUAAAAGUAUAGAGAUGAAGAGGUAGUUGCCAGAGCUGAGGGGAUUGGGGCAUGUAGUUAUAGAGUUAUGAGGAAGCCCCAUGGUAACGGAAUAGUUCCAAAUCUUGAUUGUGGUGGUUACGUGAUUCUACACAUUGACAGAAUUGCACAGAACUUACACACACACAAACACACGAGGACAUAUAAAAUGUUAACUCUGAAUAAGCUCUACUACGUUUGUACUAGAUGUUACCAUUGGGGAAACUGGGUGAAAGUUACCUUGCACCUCUCUAUACUUUUUUUUCAUUUUUGGCAACUUCCUGUGAAAUCUAUAAUUAAAAUAAAAAGUUGAAAAACAAAAACAGUUGCAAAAUACAGUGCAUAAUGUGAUCCCAGUUUUAAAAAAUAUAUGUAAUAUACACAGAUACAUAAUUUUUUAUAUACAGAAGAGUAUCUGGAAGAAUAGACACCAGAUUGUUAAUGCUCCUUACCUUGGAGACAAGGAGGGGACAUGGGGAGGCAUGAGACUCUUACUUCACACUUUCUCAAUGAACAUGUAAUACUUUUGUAUUGUGUAUUUUGGAUUACUUAAACAGCAGGUCAAGAGGCUAUAAGAAAUGACCAUGAAGUUGUCACCUCUGUUUUUAAAUAAUGAAAUUUCAUCAUCACAGCAGUGAGCUCAAUAAAAUUCCUAUAGCAUCAAGAUAAACACAAAGUAACAUAUGCAUCUUAGAUGAUUUAACAAACUUCAGUUGUCACCAUAAAGGAAGAACACAGUCAACAAAAGCAUCCUGCAAGUGUGAAGGUAAUGCCCAGUCAGAGUCGCGUGCUCAUGUCCUGAGGUUUUCAGGAUUUGCACUGACCCUACAAAGGAGCGUUCUGAUUUCAGUGAGGGGUAACUUACUGAACAGAGAAUAAAAAUAAAAUUGUGAUUAAAAGUAAAGUUACUGUAAGACAUUUAAUAACAUGUAUGCUCUUUAUUAUCUUGCUCCUGCAGAUUACUUCCACAUGGGCAAAUUAUCCAUUUUCAAGGUAUUGCAUUUUUUACAAAUUGAAGGUUUGUGGCAACCCUGCGUUGAACAAGUCUAUUGGCAUCAUCAUUCCAAUAGCAUAUGCUCAGUUCAUGUUUAUGUAUUUCAAAAUAUUUGGUAAUACAACAUUUCAAACUUUGUCAUUAUUAUAUCUAUUAUGGUGAUCAGUAAUUUUUGAUGUCACUACUAUAAUUGUUUUGAGAGGCCACAAAUCAUACCCAUAUGAGAUAGCAAACUUAAUCAAUCCACAUUGUGUGUGUUCUAACUGCUCCAACCAUUCCCCCAUCUCUCUCCCUCUCCUAAAGCCUCCCUAUUCCUUGUCACAACAAUAUUGAAAUUAGGCCAAUAUAAUAACCCUAAAAUGGCCUCUAAGUGUUCAAGUGAAAAGAAAAA
Lemur catta (Ring-tailed lemur) is the source of this 1768-nucleotide long non-coding RNA. RefSeq lists it as uncharacterized. Lineage: Eukaryota; Metazoa; Chordata; Mammalia; Primates; Lemuridae. The transcript has 3 exons. The record is from RefSeq and is a predicted model, not a curated record.